UACGUAGGGUGCAAGCGUUGUCCGGAAUUAUUGGGCGUAAAGAGCUCGUAGGCGGUCUGUCACGUCGGAUGUGAAAACUCGGGGCUCAACCCCGAGCCUGCAUACGAUACGGGCAGACUUGAGUUCGGCAGGGGAGACUGGAAUUCCUGGUGUAGCGGUGAAAUGCGUAGAUAUCAGGAGGAACACCGGUGGCGAAGGCGGGUCUCUGGGCAACUACUGACGCUGAGGAGCGAAAGCGUGGGGAGCGAACAGG
This 253-nucleotide ribosomal RNA is filed under the name uncultured bacterium. RNAcentral describes it as "partial 16S ribosomal RNA". It matches the Rfam family "Bacterial small subunit ribosomal RNA", at positions 524 to 776 of the family's 1533-position model. The record is from RNAcentral.